CAAUAGCGUAUAUUUAAGUUGUUGCAGUUAAAAAGCUCGUAGUUGGAUUUCGGUUAAGAGCGACCGGUCCGCCGUUUGGUGUGCACUGGUUGGUUUUAACUUCCUGUAGAGGACGUGCUCUGGGUUUAACGACCCGGACUCGGAGUCUACGUGGUUACUUUGAAAAAAUUAGAGUGUUCAAAGCGGGCUUACGCUUGAAUAUUUCAGCAUGGAAUAACACUAUAGGACUCCUGUCCUAUUUCGUUGGUCUCGGGACGGGAGUAAUGAUUAAGAGGAACAGUUGGGGGCAUUCGUAUUUCAUUGUCAGAGGUGAAAUUCUUGGAUUUAUGAAAGACGAACUUCUGCGAAAGCAUUUGCCAAGGAUGUUUUCAUUA
This 374-nucleotide ribosomal RNA is filed under the name uncultured eukaryote. Its description in RNAcentral is "partial 18S ribosomal RNA". It matches the Rfam family "Eukaryotic small subunit ribosomal RNA", at positions 592 to 975 of the family's 1831-position model. The record is from RNAcentral.